UGCCUGUCCUGGGAAUUAGUCUGUGAG
Molecule: non-coding RNA, 27 nt
Filed under: Rattus norvegicus (Norway rat)
Lineage: Eukaryota; Metazoa; Chordata; Mammalia; Rodentia; Muridae
Source: RNAcentral